GCGGCUUAAUUUGACUCAACGCGGGGUAAUUUACCAGGUAUAACAUGAUAUAAUAUUUUAUCAUGAUAGUGGUGCAUGGCCGUUUUCAAUGGAUGCUGUGAAGUAAUGAUUAAUUUCAACAAGAUGUGAGACCCUCAUUUAGACAGAUGUAGUGAUACAUAUGAAGGAGAGGAUUAAAACAGGUCCGUUAUGCCCUAAGAUAAUCUGGGUUGCACGCGCAAUACAAUAAUAUUUGAUAUUAUAAGGGAUAAUAUAAUGUAAGAUAUAUUUGAACAUGGAAUUGCUAGUAAAUUUUAUUUAAUAAGUAGAAUUGAAUGAGUCCCUGUUCUUUGUACACACCGCCCGUCGCUAUCUAAGAUGGUAUUAUCUAUGAACAAAUUUAUAAAGUGAAUAGAUAGUACUAGAUCUGAUAUAAGUCGUAACAUGGUUGCUGUUGGAGAACCAUUAGCAGGAUCAUAA
This 459-nucleotide ribosomal RNA is filed under the name Nosema bombycis. RNAcentral describes it as "SSU rRNA". It matches the Rfam family "Microsporidia small subunit ribosomal RNA", at positions 819 to 1311 of the family's 1311-position model. The record is from RNAcentral. Lineage: Eukaryota; Fungi; Microsporidia; Nosematidae.